Molecule: transfer RNA, 77 nt
Filed under: Candidatus Uhrbacteria bacterium
Lineage: Bacteria; Candidatus Uhriibacteriota
Description: tRNA-Pro
Rfam family: tRNA
About the family: Transfer RNA (tRNA) molecules are approximately 80 nucleotides in length. Their secondary structure includes four short double-helical elements and three loops (D, anti-codon, and T loops). Further hydrogen bonds mediate the characteristic L-shaped molecular structure. tRNAs have two regions of fundamental functional importance: the anti-codon, which is responsible for specific mRNA codon recognition, and the 3' end, to which the tRNAs corresponding amino acid is attached (by aminoacyl-tRNA synthetases). tRNAs cope with the degeneracy of the genetic code in two manners: having more than one tRNA (with a specific anti-codon) for a particular amino acid; and 'wobble' base-pairing, i.e. permitting non-standard base-pairing at the 3rd anti-codon position.
Source: RNAcentral
CGGGCUAUGGCGCAGUUGGCUAGCGCGCACGCAUGGGGUGCGUGAGGUCGUGAGUUCAAGUCUCACUAGCCCGACCA